This is a non-coding RNA of Lactuca sativa (garden lettuce), 2110 nucleotides long. The record is from RefSeq and is a predicted model, not a curated record. NCBI's taxonomy places the organism in Eukaryota, Viridiplantae, Streptophyta, Magnoliopsida, Asterales, Asteraceae.
GCGCGCCCUUAAAUUAGUGUCUAAAAAAAACACGGAGGGCACCUAUAAUAAAAUGCGCGUCGUCUAAGGAUGUCGCUUUAUAAUUUUUAAUGGAACGCGCGUUCCAUCCUUUAACAGUAGGGGGAAAUGAAAUUCUGAAAAAAUUAAAAAUCCCGCCUUCCUUUUUUUUCUCCUUUCCCUCUUGCCCUGGACGCUCCUUCCUUCCCCCUCCCGACAUUGACUGCUGCUUACUUCUUCCCUCACUUCUACCUACUGGAACCACCAUAUCUCCCACUCGAUGUUGAAAUUGUUAGAAAAAGCCCUAAUUAUACUCUUAAGUCUAAAUACAGAAAAAAUAGAAGAUGGUGAAGAAGUAGCAGUAGAAAAAGCCCUAAUCGGAGGUGGUCCUGUUCUUCAUUGUUUCUUCGAUGUUGAAAUUGUUAGAAAAAGCCCUAAUCGGAGGUGGUCCUGUUCUUCCUCCCACCACGAUUCCCAGCUUUUGUUCGCCGGAACACCGAUUCCACCGUGGUUUCUGAUCCAUGCUGACCAGUCGUCCCAGUCUUCAACGAUUUUCUGCCAUUGAAAUCCGGAUGGGUUGAAAAGAAAAGGGGCGAACAGCCACGACACGACUAGGAACCACAUUGAGAUGGUUAGGUGGCUCUGUAUUUGGCGCCGCCGUGGAGAAUUGUGCGACCUAAAUAGUGACGUUUGGUGCCAAGAGAGAAGGUGAAGAAGACAGCGGAGAGCUGGAGGUUCAUGAUUAUUAGACACACACACACACACAUAAUUGAAUUCCAUUUCUAGGGCAAUAGCAGGCAACAUCGACACACUCUAAGAUUGCAACCUUCUCACCGUCCGUCUGUUUGGUAUGUCUCCUCCCAACGUUGAUGGUGGUGUUGCCGUCUCAACUACUCAUCUCCCCCACCACCGCCUUCCAUUCCAUCUUUGUUUGCUCCCAAUUCCAUAUUCGUUUGCUACGUGUCCAUCAUAAAUGAUUUUUCUUUUUGUUUUUUUUUUCUGGCAGAGGGACGUCAACUCAAGAAGGGGCGUCAAAAUUUUGAAAUUGGAGAUGGAAAAUUUCUGCUUUCGUCUACGUCUUCUAUGUUCCAUUGUCGGAUCUAACCACCUCUGUAUCCUCGACGAUCGCCUGCAAUAUGGUUGAUUUUGUUGAUGGUUUGAAGGUUUAGGUUCAAUCGAUUGUCCUACUCCAGCCAUGUCACUUUCUUGGCGGAUUCAGUUAGAUUCCCUCGACCUUCGAAUUUCUGGACCUGUAGAUCGAUAGGUGCGAUGGUUGUUAACACUUGCCACUGUUGAAAGGUUCUAUGUCUUUAAUGGUCCGGCCUCAUACCCGGUCCUCAUCUGUUACUCUACCCCUGUAUAAUCACUAAAUCAUCAUAUUCUUUCAAUUUUCUCCAAUUAAAUUCAUUAGUAUUGUUCUGUUCCAUUUCCAAAUACCAUUGAUACGGUAAAAAUCCAUGAGGAUUUGGAGAUAAUACUGACAUGUUUGUUGUUUUGGCUGCCGCCCACCAGGUGUAUGAUUAAAUGCCUAGAUGACUUAUUCUAUUAUGUUAUCAUGGUUUUAUCUGUAUUUUAUCAUCGCUUCAUUUUGUUUUCUUAAUAAAUUACUUUUACCUAUUUCAGAAAAGUCAACCUAGGAUGGGCUUCAUGGUAAAUUAAGAAGAUUUGAGGGACCACAGAAGGUUGACGCCUCAACAGAUGGGAAUGGAAUGGUAAUGUGAAGGUGGAGGUGAAAGUGGUUGGCCAUGCAAUGUUUGAUACUUCUAAAGUAGAGAAUAUCAUGGUUUUCAUUUUAGAAUCAUCAAAUUCUACCAAAGGGAAGAGACAGCUUCUUAAGCAAUAUGAAUUUCAUUCCCCUAAUCAACAAUAUUUAGCCCGUUAAUGGUACUUAAUCAUCUAUCAGGUAGAAGCUUUCAAGAUUCAAGUUUUUGAUGAUUAUGUAGUAAUUGUAGCAUAAGUAACAGUUGUUGAAUAUCCUUUCUUUCCGAGUAUCUUGCUGUACUUUUGUUUUAAUAUAUGCAUACCAACUUUGUAUCUGUAACUAAGAUAGCAUUUCUGUUUGGUAAGAUAAUAUAAUAAUUAAUAAUUUAUUUUGUAAAUUUUUCAGGUCAAC